This 8312-nucleotide long non-coding RNA is filed under the name Daucus carota (carrot). RNAcentral describes it as "long non-coding RNA (DCAR_LNC002448)". The record is from RNAcentral. Lineage: Eukaryota; Viridiplantae; Streptophyta; Magnoliopsida; Apiales; Apiaceae.
AUACUGAAACCCUUCUCAAAUAAACUCUUAUUUCUGAGAAUGAAACCCAUGAUUGUUUUCAACUUUCAAGUCUUUGAAAAGCCAAACACCCAAAUACUCUCAAUUUCUAUUACAAGUAUUCUGAUCCAUUCUUUCCAAUCCUCAAGAUUUUAAAAAUAUCAGCUUUACAAAUUAAUUCGAAGUUCAGACCGUCAUUGAAGCAUGGGUUGCUCAGUGAUAGUUAGAACCUAGAAUGAAUUGGGAUCUUCUUGAUUAUUCAACCCGCCAUUGUCAUGCUGGUUUAGCAGGCUAAAUUCAGUUGCUUAGCCGAUAAUGGAGGAUACUGAAUAGUUAGGAAUUUCCUGAACUAUGAUUUAUUAAAAGACAGACUGUGGUUUAUGAAAUGUUGAUCCUCAAAAGUUGGUUUGGAAUAUUUCUGUUAUUGAUAAUGAUUAUGAUUCUGUUCUGUUGAUUGAAUUGUCUAUUGAUUUAAAUUGUUAGAAUUGGAUUAGUUUUUAUAAAAUAUGUGGACCAGAUUCGUGGUCAGACCAGAUUCGUGGUCAAUUAUAGGCCAAUGUGUGCCUUGGAUCCAGUAUAGAGAACAGGGCUGUGUGCCAUGUUCGGGGUUAGUGCGUGACUGAUCAGCAGCCUAACCUUUGGUUUUUAAGUAAAAAUGUGAUGAAUCCAAUUCGACAAUUCUUCUGUAAGUUUGAAAUUCUGAUUUCAAUUGCUGAUAAGAAUUGUGAAGUUUUCAAUUGCAUAUCCUGAACUUGUGAACCCUGAUAAAAUAUUUCAGGACUAUUGUUGCUUAUAUACACUUGUUGAGCAUUGUAGCUCACCCUUGCUAUUCUUUUUUUUUUACCAUUUCAGAAAAGCUUAGAGAUGAAUUGCUUGAUUGAGAUUGCGAGUAUGGCUAAGGCUAAGCGAGGAGUCAGAGUUAUAGAAUAUCCAGAGGACAAGUGGAAUGUCCAGGGAGAUUGUCAAGGUUGGUUCUAGAUAGAAUUGUAUUGAUGAGAUUCAGUUGUAAGUCAUAAUUGGAAUAGAUUGACAGUGAUUCUUCUUAUCGAAGAUGAUCUGAGAUUGUAAGAUAUUGUUUAUUGAUAGUGGUUGAUUCUGAUUUCAAUACUGUAACCUGGAUGCGAUCCUGUUUUUAGGGGGUUAAAGUGUUUUCUUUUAAAUCUUUUAUUAAAGUCUUCAAGUUUUAAAUGCUUUGAUUUUUAUUUUCUCCUCAAAAAUACAGGUUUUCAAAAGUGUUUAAAAAUGGGUUUUGUGUGGUGACGUCAGAAUCCAGACCCCCGGAUUCUCGGGCUGUCACAGUUGGUAUCAGAGCAACAGGUUAUAAGUUAUUGAAAUUAGAAUAUAGAUUGUGGUUAUAAGUUUUAUAGAGAAAAAGUGUUCAGUGACCUCAUAUAGAGGUAUUGUGAGACUGUCUGGGGAUAGUCUAGAGAGGUAAUCGGAAUAGAAUCUAGAUAGUUAAUUAAGUUGAGGGUACAUGUUUAGAUAGAUCAUGGUUCCUAAGUCUAGAUACUUGGUUUCUAGUAUGGGGACUGAUUGAGAUAGUGAAUUGUGAUAAGGGUCAGAGUCGGACCUAGUCAAAAGAGUAUUAAUAAUGAAUGAUUAAGUUAAGAAUGAUAAAGAUGCAUGGUUUGGAGUAUUCUGACCAUGUUACAUAUUUGAAAGUGGUUUAUCGUUUGAAUUGAAAUGUAGAAGAAUGGAUGUUGAAUAUGAGAUAUUGUGAAUUAGAAAGAGAAUUUUGUAGAUAGAUGUGAUGUGAAUGAUAGAGAGUAGGUGGAAUUGAGUCUAGUUAUCAGAAGUAAUAUUGUGAGUGAGAUAGAACGUUAGUCUUAACGACGACGCUUCAAGCUAACCGGCAUUUCAUCUGCUAUCAAGAUGAACCUGCUUCAUUGCGAAUGAUAAUGUCUACAAGGAAAUCUUACGAGGCUAUCACGAGUUAAUGAUGAUCGAUUAUCGAGAACGUCGAGAAGAGGACAUACAUUGAACAACGAUUUAUGGAAGUAGAGCAGGAAUUUGAGAAGACCUUGGCAAUAUCUUUCUUCAACAAAAGCUUAUCUUAAUUCUUUUCAUCAUCAUUAAGUCCUUAUUAGGAUACCUUUUCUACAAAAAGUUUUGAUAAAUGAGAUAUUCUAUUUCUCGAAUGACGAGAAAACAUUGGUAUUGAUUAUUGAUAUUGGUAUUGAUUCUUGGUGUGUGAUAAAGGUAGAGCAGGAAUUUGAGAAGACCUUGGCAAUAUCUUUCUUCAACAAAAGCUUAUCUUAAUUCUUUUCAUCAUCAUUAAGUCCUUAUUAGGAUACCUUUUCUACAAAAAGUUUUGAUAAAUGAGAUAUUCUAUUUCUCGAAUGACGAGAAAACAUUGGUAUUGAUUAUUGAUAUUGGUAUUGAUUCUUGGUGUGUGAUAAAAGUUAUUGUGAGAAGACAAUGAUAUUUCUUGAUAUUUCUUGAGAUUCUUUGAUAUAUAUCUUGAUUCUCUUGAUAUUCUUUGGUAUUCUUUGAUAUUCCUUGGUAUUACUUCCAUCUGAUUGGGAUGAACAACCCUAUGUAUAGGGGACACAAGGUAUACCUGUCUGUGUGAUAGGAGUUGGAUGGGACGCCAUCACUUGUGUGUGUUGUACUUACAAGAAGGUUAACAACCUUUAGUAGUGUCUAAUAUGGGCACGCAACACUAAGUUCGUUUGAUCAUAUUGAUCUCUCAGUCACUCUCUUAUUUAAACAUGACCUAUUUUGCAAACAUCUUGUUCACAUUCUAAAUCUCAAGGAUUGAUUCUUGGGAAAUGAAUUCUGCAAUUGUGAAAGAUUGAUUCUCCUAUUUCUUUAAAGUUAAAGGUAUGCCAAGGUCAUUUAAAGGUGGGGAAUGAUAUUACGAAGUUUUAGUUCUCUUCGCGGAUUCUGAGGACAGAAUCCUUAUAAGGAGGGUAGAAUGUAACAUCCCAGAUUUUCAGAAUUAGUUUAUUAAUUUAGAAAUAAAUUUUUGAAUAUUAUUAUUGGUUUUAGUUGAUUUUUUUCUGAUGAGAUGAAUGAUCUGUGUAGUAUGAGUAUAAUUUUGAUGUGGAAUUAUAAGGUUUAAACAGAUUAUGCAUUCUUCUUCUGUGAUUUCGUAUAUUUUCACGACCCGGAUUUUUCAAAAAUUGUUUAUUGUUAUGAAAGUUAUUUUCUUAGAAAGGAGGAAUAAAAUUUAAUAUUUUAUUCCAGUUUGAUAAUUUUCAAAAAUAUUUGUAUAAAUUAUUUUCCUUGUCAUCGGGGUUAGGGGAAAAUAUCUGUUCAUCGUGCAGUUAUCUGUUACGAGAUUUAAUUGAUUUAUUUGUGUACGAUUAUGUCUGUGUGCAUUUAUUUCUGCUUUUGAUAUUAUUAUAUUACUUUAUUAAAAUUUAUUAUCUUCUUAAAUGGAUAUUAUUUUUGUAAAAAUACAAAGAUAAUUUGAAAACUUAUUUUAAUUGCUUGAUGGUGAUCAUAAAUAUUUUUAGGAGUUUAUAAAAUAUUAAGAAUCUUAUGUCUAUAUGGUCGGAUUUUUAAUUAGUUUCUGAAGCAUCUAACCUCUAAAUUUUGUAUAAGUUUCGAAAAUGCUCUGUAAAUCCCGAAACUUUUAUUUAAUUAGUUUUAUAAUAUUCAUGGAUUUGUAAAAUUAUUUUGGUGAUUUUUCGGGAAUGUUUUAUUAUGAAUAGUAUCUGUAAAUAAGCUAAUUGCGGGUAUUAGCCAGGGAUUGUUCUACAAAAAAUAGGACACGCAGCAGCAUGAGAGUGUGACACGUACCCCUAUAUUCCACCGCCUGUACUCCCUUUCUUCUUUCCUUUUCUUAAUGUCAUCACUUUUGAAACCUCAAGUCUCGGUCUCUCCUACCUCUCGUUCUCUCCCCAACUGAGUGUUCUUUUCCUCCUCCCUGCCUUUUUCAUUCCUGCAGCUGUGUGAUUAAUUGGGGGAGAGUGAAAUUAGGGUUUGUCCGUCUUCACUCAAUCAAAGGUAAUCAACUCUCGUUUUGAUUAAUUGUGAUUCUUAAACUUGAUUAUAUGCAUAAGUGUCUGUAUACUUGUGUAUGUAUGUAUUUGUGUGGCUGUUCGUUUCGACUGGAGAUGAUGACAACACUGUUGGUGGAGGGCCGUGGUGGUGAUGUGGUGGUGUAUAUAUAGCUGUGUGUUAUGUUCUUAAAAUGGGUUUUUUUGUGUAAUUUGAGUUGUGGUGUUAGAAUUGAGGCAAUUGUUGUCAAGCUUCGCAGCGGUAAUGUCCUGUUUUGUAGCUUUGUUCUAGGACUAUUAAGUUCAAUUACUAUGCUUAAUUUCCCUGUGAUUAUAUGCUCCUUGAAGUCUAGAUUAAGUGCGAAAAAGAAUUUCAAAGUUUCGUUAAAUGAGCUAAAAGUUAUGAAUUAAUUAGUGACUCUAUGUCUAGAUGACAAAAUUCUGCUAUGUGACAUAUGUGUGCACUGCCCUAUUUUGACAUGUGUAUUUCAAACUGAUAUAAGAUUAAUUGGUGAAUGGAUUGAUUUAUAUUGAUGUCUCUUAAGGUAUAAAAUCAGUACCAAAAGGAUUUAGGUUGAUUGGAUUAAUAAGAUUAAAGUUAUGUUAGAUUUUUAAGAGAUAUGCUACAUGAUUAGAUGCUGAGUAAUAUGUUAUGAUUUUGAUGUGUCUUGUAUGCAAAGUCUGUACAACAUAGAAUAGAAUUAAAAUACUGAACCUCUGAGACUAUAUGCUAUGUGGAAUCAAGGAUCUAUGCCAAGUGGAAUUAAUCAAUUUGGAUUAGUAAAUAUUAAGAUAUGAAUUUUUAUGUGUACGGUGUUAUUAGAGCCCUGCUGUGAUGCUUUCUCUGCACCAUGUUGAACUUCCAAAAUUUAUACUAAAUUAAUUAUGUGUUGGAACUUGUUUGUUUGACCUCUGUAACUUAGCUAUUCGAGUUCUAUAUGAUUUCUAUUCUCUGAGUUCCUUGAUUUGGUGCUUAUAAAAUGAAUUUCUAAAAAUACAAAAAUGAUUUGAAAAAUUCUUUCAAUUACUUGAAAAUUAUAAUGAAUAUUUUUAGGAGUUUUUAAAAUAUUAAAUAUAUUAUUUUUGUAAAAGUUUGAUGUUUAAAUAUUUUCUGAACGCAAUUAAUUUCUAAAUUGCGUAUAAAUUUCAUAAGUACUCGAUAAAUCUCAAAACUUUUAUUUCAUUGGUCUUAUAACAUUCCGGGAUUUAUAAAAAUAUUUCGGUAGCUGUCGGAAGAAAUUUUACUGCAAGUUUUUCCCUGAAUUAGUUGAUAUCGGGUAUUUAGGAUUGAAUAUCAGAUUAAAAGGAGGUGUGACAUGUGUCCCAAUAUUCCACCGCCUAUACUCCCUUUCUUCUUUCCUUUUCUAUAUUUCAUCACUUUUAAAACAUCAAGUCUCAGUCUCUCGCAUCUCUCGUUGUUGAGCCUCAACUAGUGUUCUCUUCCUCCUCUCUGCCUUUUCAAUCUUGCAACCGUGUGAUUAAUUAGGAGAGAGUGAAAUUAGGGUUUGGGAUUUUUCAACCAAUCAAAGGUAAUCAUCUCUCGUUUCGAUUAAUUGCGAUUCUUAAACUUGAUUAUAUGCAUAAGUGUGUGUAUACUUGUGUAUGUAUGUAUCUGUGUGGCUGUUCGCUUUAACUGGAGAUGAUGACAACAUUGUUGGUGGUUUGGUGGUGGAGCUGUGGUGUUGAUGUGGUGGUGUAUAUAUAGCUGUGUACAUGUUCUUAGAAUGGGUUUUGUGUAAUUUGAGAUGUGGUAUUAGAAUUGAGUCAAUUGUUGUCAAGCUUCGCAGCGGUAAUGUCCUGUUUUGUAGCUUUGUUCUAGGACUGUUAAGUUCGAUUACUAUGCUUAAUUUUCCUGCGAUUAUAUGCUCCUUGAAGUCUAGAUUAAGUGCGAAAAAGAAUUUCAAAGUUUCGUUAAAUGAGCUAAAAGUUAUGAAUGAAUUAGUGACUCUUUGUCUAGAUGAGAAAAUUCUGCUAUGUGACAUAUGUGUGCAUUGCCCUGUUUUGACAUGUGUACUCCAAACUGACAUAAGAUUAAUUGGUAAAUUGAUUAACUUAUAAUGAUGUUUCUUAAGGUAUAAAAUCAGUACCAAGAGGAAUUAGGUUGAUUGGAUUAAUAAGAUUAAAGUUAUGUUAGAUUUUUUUUAAGAGAUAUACUACAUGAUUAGAUGCUGAGUAAUAUGUUAUGAUUUUGAAGUGUCUUGUAUGCAAAGUCUGUAUAACAUAGAAUAGAAUUAAAAUACCAAACCUCUGAGACUAUAUGCUAUGUGGAAUCAAGGAUCUAUGCCAAGUGGAAUUAAUCAAUUUGGAUUAGUACAUAUUAAGAUAAGAAUUUUUAUGUAUCCGGUGUUAUUAGAGCCCUGCUGUGAUGCUUUCUCUGCACCAUGUUGAACUUUCAAAAUUUAUACUAAAUUAAUUAUGUGUUGGAACUUGUUUGUUUGACCUCUGUAACUUGGCUAUGUGAGUUCUCUAUGAUUUCUAUUCUUUGAGUUUCUUGAUUUGGUGCUUGCUUCUAUUUUAUGAAAAUUGAUCAAGUCAAGUAUGUCAAAACCAUACUACACUGUCCUGUUUUGCUAAAUGAUGCAUUAUGUACUAACUAUAACUGAUUAAAUGGCGAGUCUUUUUGUGUUGAUCAGAUAAUUUCAAGUAUGACGUCUCCUGUUUGUAUUGUCUUGGAAAAUUAUGUAAUCUAGUGUUCUAUAAGUUAGCAAAAUUGAGAGGGUUGUUGCUGAUUUGUAUUAAGAAGUCAACUUAAUUAAUGAUUUCCUGUUUUAUUACUUGAUCACUUUUUGCAUACUAUAUAUGGUUAGAAAGAUCUUGGAAUGCUCUAUCUUUUUUUGUUUAAUGUAUCUAUAAAUGAGAUUUCCGAAUGCUAGUAAAAUGCAAAUCUCUUGGUGUCUGUCCAGCAGUUUAUGGGCUUUAUGAAUUGUCGAGUUAGAAUUAUAUGUAUUGUUCUAUGACUUGCAUCUAGACUUAAAGUUGAAUCAUUGUUUGGCUGAGAUAUGUGAGUUAUUGAUGUGUGAUUGUGUUUUAAUUGAUAAUUGGUUCGGUACUUGUUGGUUUAUUGAGUUGGAUUGGGUUGGUUAUUUGUUGAGUUGUAUAGGGAGUUAGAAAACUGUUUUGUUAAUAACUUUUGAUACGUAAUUCAGAAUCGAGUGAAACGAAAAAGAGGUUAAAGCUUAGAAACUCUAGUUUAAUAUAAUGUAACAAUAUGAUUGAGUUUCCAAUGUGUAUAAAGAUUGUUGAAAAUGCAUAAUGUGACUAUACGUGAUCUAUUUGCUAUAUAGUGAUGAUUAUAUCAAAUACGUAUCCAUUUGAUUUGAUAAACGAUUUGGGAGACAUAGCAUCUUGUCUUGAUUAAUGUUGAAUAAGAAUAUGUAGAUUACAGGAAUUUGAGUUGAUUGAUUGGUCGUUGGUUGAAAUAGGCUGACAGAUGGAUAGUCCUAUAAAUAGACAAGACGCUGUCAGAUUUUCAAUAGGAUUUAUAUGGUUAUUGAGUUGUAGUAUGCUACAUGGAGUAUGAUGUGACUAUAUGAUAAAGUCAAAGCAUGAUUAUAUGUUAAGUGAUACCUGAUAAGUGCAUAGAGAUUAUAUAGGGUGAUAUGUGAUUAUGUGUUAAAUGCUAUCGAUAUAAGUGAUAUGUAUAUGCGAUAGGUUAUGAUACCGAGUUUGAUAAGUAAGAUAAGAAUUAAUAGAUUAUUUAGUAAUUAUGGUAGUAUUUUAUUCUCGUAAAGGAUUUGGACGAGGCGUAUACGACCGAAGACGUUCAGAAAGUCAAACGGUGUUCCAAAGCGAAUGAGGAACGAAUCGAGUAAGUGAAGCAGUGUGGCGAAUAAAGUAUAGCCAGAGAUGGUCUAGAUACUAUGAUAUGCAUAGGUUGUGAGUUGGAAAGAUGAGAUUAAGCUGUGUGUGGAAGCGGAUUUAAGGCAAGUUUUCCUAAAUACUUCCUCACAUAUAUAUAUUGCAUGUUCUGAUUAUUCUGUCCAGACUAUGUUAUUGCUUAUACUGAAACCCUUCUCAAAUAAACUCUUAUUUCUGAGAAUGAAACCCAUGAUUGUUUUCAACUUUCAAGUCUUUGAAAAGCCAAACACCCAAAUACUCUCACUUUCUAUUACAAGUAUUCUGAUCCAUUCUUUCCAAUCCUCAAGAUUUUAAAAAUAUCAGCUUUACAAAUUAAUUCGAAGUUCAGACCGUCAUUGAAGCAUGGGUUGCUCAGUGAUAGUUAGAACCUAGAAUGAGUUGGGAUCUUCUUGAUUAUUCAACCCGCCAUUGUCAUGCUGGUUUAGCAGGCUAAAUUCAGUUGCUUAGCCGAUAAUGGAGGAUACUGAAUAGUUAGGAAUUUCCUGAACUAUGAUUUAUCAAAAGACAGAC